GAGCCCCCCGCAGCCUCCGCGCAGCCGGACAAACAAUGUGAGACUUGGCGGAACAAAAGCGGCCGGGCUUGGGUUGCUGAACACGUCUGAGGCCAGACGAGCCGCGCGAUUUAUUGGACUCGGAGAGCCCCGGCUCCGGCCGCUACUCCAGCCCCGGCCCCGCUCCGGCCACCAGGAGAAGCCGCUGGCGUGGGGAGCGCGGCUCAGCCCGAGGCCCGUUCCGCCGCAGUUCUGGGGAUGCCCGCGACACCAGGCUGGACGUGGGUUCACCCUAUGUGUGAUGCUCGUUUUCUGGCUGAAAAAUUGUAGGUCUCUGGCCCUGGUGCGAUGAGAGUUCACUGGGAAUAUCCUGCUCAGAUUGGCUCAUUAUUACAUAAAUCAGGGGUGGGGGUUAUAGAAAACCCCACCCUCCAAAAGCCAUGAACUGUGAGGAGCUGCCAGCAGGACCUUGUCUUGAGGGACCCUCAGCAGAAGCCCCUCACCAUGGCUGAUCCACUUCAGCCUCCUCCUCUCCCUGCUCCUGAUGGCAGACCCUGGCCUGGAGCGUGAUGUGGACCCUGAUUUACACCAGCUGACCAGAGCUGCUGACCAGAGCUGCUGACCAGCACCAGGCCUCGGCGUGGGGACGCAGUACCAGCUCAGGGAGCGCCAGGGUGCCGAGGACACCAGGACAUCCCCAUCGUGCCACCACACAUCGCCCUGUGGGCCGCUCACUGGUGAAGAUCAUAAGGCUGGAAGAAUAGGAAAAAUUAAAAAAAAAAAAAAACAGGAGAGAAGAAAGAAAAAGAGUCUCCAACCCCAGGAAAUCUGUGUUAAUUGCUUAUGAAUGUCUCUGUCUAAAAAAUUAUCGAAUUGAUGUUGUCGUGCUUUUUUUUGACAGCCUGUCUGUUACAUUUUAUUAAAAUAUUCAUGCACCGAAAUCUAAUUACUAGGCAAAUUUAAUGAUAAUGAAAUGAAGGCACUUUAGCAGAAAGCAUAGGGCCUUGUUAAUGUUUUCUCAGCCUCUGUCUUGUUCAUAUUUUUAAUUUUUUCUUUUUUUUACUACUGUCUUUCUUGCAUAUGAAAAAAAAAAAAGAUCACUGAAAAUAAAACUCAGAUUGCCGAUAA
Molecule: long non-coding RNA, 1107 nt
Organism: Hirundo rustica (Barn swallow)
Lineage: Eukaryota; Metazoa; Chordata; Aves; Passeriformes; Hirundinidae
Exons: 6
Source: RefSeq, a predicted model, not a curated record